Molecule: ribosomal RNA, 510 nt
Filed under: Streptomyces sp. 306A03
Lineage: Bacteria; Bacillati; Actinomycetota; Actinomycetes; Kitasatosporales; Streptomycetaceae
Also listed under: 1 other name
Description: bacterial SSU rRNA
Rfam family: Bacterial small subunit ribosomal RNA
Source: RNAcentral
UAGUGGCGAACGGGUGAGUAACACGUGGGCAAUCUGCCCUUCACUCUGGGACAAGCCCUGGAAACGGGGUCUAAUACCGGAUAUCACUUCUGCUCGCAUGGGUGGGGGUUGAAAGCUCCGGCGGUGAAGGAUGAGCCCGCGGCCUAUCAGCUUGUUGGUGAGGUAGUGGCUCACCAAGGCGACGACGGGUAGCCGGCCUGAGAGGGCGACCGGCCACACUGGGACUGAGACACGGCCCAGACUCCUACGGGAGGCAGCAGUGGGGAAUAUUGCACAAUGGGCGGAAGCCUGAUGCAGCGACGCCGCGUGAGGGAUGACGGCCUUCGGGUUGUAAACCUCUUUCAGCAGGGAAGAAGCGCAAGUGACGGUACCUGCAGAAGAAGCGCCGGCUAACUACGUGCCAGCAGCCGCGGUAAUACGUAGGGCGCAAGCGUUGUCCGGAAUUAUUGGGCGUAAAGAGCUCGUAGGCGGCUUGUCACGUCGGGUGUGAAAGCCCGGGGCUUAACCCCG